AUACGUAUGUCGCAAGCGUUAUCCGGAAUUAUUGGGCGUAAAGCGAGUCUAGGCGGCUUGUUAAGUCAGAUGUGAAAAUGCGGGGCUCAACUCCGUAUUGCGUUUGAAACUGACAGGCUAGAGUACUGGAGAGGUGGGCGGAACUACAAGUGUAGAGGUGAAAUUCGUAGAUAAUUGUAGGAAUGCCGAUAGUGAAGACAGCUCACUGGACAGAUACUGACGCUAAAGCUCGAAAGCGUGGGGAGCGAACAGGAUUAGAAACCCCAGUAGUCC
This 273-nucleotide ribosomal RNA is filed under the name uncultured bacterium. Its description in RNAcentral is "partial 16S ribosomal RNA". It matches the Rfam family "Bacterial small subunit ribosomal RNA", at positions 523 to 796 of the family's 1533-position model. The record is from RNAcentral.